Molecule: unclassified non-coding RNA, 275 nt
Filed under: uncultured fungus
Lineage: Eukaryota; Fungi
Description: partial contains 5.8S ribosomal RNA, internal transcribed spacer 2, and large subunit ribosomal RNA
Source: RNAcentral
AACGCAUAUUGCGGUCGAGGCUUCGGCCGAGACCAUGUCUGCCUCAGCGUCGGUGUGAACCCUCAUCCUCUCCUAGGAGUUGGAUGGAACUGGUCUCCCCAUCGCUCCCGCGAUGGGUUGGCUGAAAUAUGAAGGCUAAAGCUUGGACCUGUAUGGCAACAGCAAGGUAGGUAGCUUGACUACUCCAGCUGAUGCUUUGGGUACUAGCAAAACGCCCGCAGGAAACAUUCACCCUUUUCGACCUGAGAUCAGGCAAGGCUACCCGCUGAACUUAA